Molecule: non-coding RNA, 102 nt
Organism: Mesocricetus auratus (golden hamster)
Lineage: Eukaryota; Metazoa; Chordata; Mammalia; Rodentia; Cricetidae
Source: Rfam
AAAAAUAUUGUGUUUGUUUUGGCAACACAAAUGAUGCAGAGAAGAUUAGCAUGACCAUUGCACAAGGAAGACAUGCAAAUCUGUGGAGCAUCCCAUAAUUUU